AGUAGUGUCAGCUAAAAUAAGCUAGUAGGCCCAUACCCUAACAAUGAAGGUGAAACCCCCUCCUCUACUA
This 70-nucleotide transfer RNA is filed under the name Centrobranchus nigroocellatus (roundnose lanternfish). RNAcentral's name for it is "tRNA-Met". Lineage: Eukaryota; Metazoa; Chordata; Actinopteri; Myctophiformes; Myctophidae. RNAcentral also lists the same sequence under 1 other name. The record is from RNAcentral.